GAUGAACGCUGGCGGCGUGCCUAAUACAUGCAAGUCGAGCGAACAGACGAGGAGCUUGCUCCUUUGACGUUAGCGGCGGACGGGUGAGUAACACGUGGGUAACCUACCUAUAAGACUGGGAUAACUUCGGGAAGCCGGAGCUAAUACCGGAUAAUAUUUCGAACCGCAUGGUUCGAUAGUGAAAGAUGGCUUUGCUCUCACUUAUAGAUGGACCUGCGCCGUAUUAGCUAGUUGGUAAGGUAACGGCUUACCAAGGCAACGAUACGUAGCCGACCUGAGAGGGUGAACGGCCACACUGGAACUGAGACACGGUCCAGACUCCUACGGGAGGCAGCAGUAGGGAAUCUUCCGCAAUGGGCGAAAGCCUGACGGAGCAACGCCGCGUGAGUGAUGAAGGUCUUCGGAUCGUAAAACUCUGUUAUUAGGGAAGAACAAACGUGUAAGUAACUGUGCACGUCUUGACGGUACCUAAUCAGAAAGCCACGGCUAACUACGUG
This 497-nucleotide ribosomal RNA is filed under the name uncultured bacterium. RNAcentral's name for it is "partial 16S ribosomal RNA". It matches the Rfam family "Bacterial small subunit ribosomal RNA", at positions 28 to 507 of the family's 1533-position model. The record is from RNAcentral.